GAUGAAGAACGUAGCGAAAUGCGAUAAGUAGUGUGAAUUGCAGAAUUCCGUGAAUCAUCGAAUCUUUGAACGCACAUUGCGCCCCUUGGUAUUCCAUGGGGCAUGCCUGUUCGAGCGUCAUUUGUACCUUCAAGCUCUGCUUGGUGUUGGGUGUUUGUCUCGCCUCUGCGUGUAGACUCGCCUCAAAAUAAUUGGCAGCCGGCGUAUUGAUUUCGGAGCGCAGUACAUCUCGCGCUUUGCACUCAUAACGACGACGUCCAAAAGUACAUUUUUACACUCUUGACCUCGGAUCAGGUAGGGAUACCCGCUGAACUUAAGCAUAUCAAUAAGCGGAGGA
RNAcentral lists this unclassified non-coding RNA (337 nucleotides) under soil metagenome. RNAcentral describes it as "partial contains 5.8S ribosomal RNA, internal transcribed spacer 2, and large subunit ribosomal RNA". The stretch from base 1 to 120 matches the Rfam family "5.8S ribosomal RNA", at positions 35 to 154 of the family's 154-position model. The record is from RNAcentral.